RNAcentral lists this transfer RNA (87 nucleotides) under Flavobacteriales bacterium. RNAcentral's name for it is "tRNA-Ser". It matches the Rfam family "tRNA". From Rfam's summary of the family: Transfer RNA (tRNA) molecules are approximately 80 nucleotides in length. Their secondary structure includes four short double-helical elements and three loops (D, anti-codon, and T loops). The record is from RNAcentral. Lineage: Bacteria; Pseudomonadati; Bacteroidota; Flavobacteriia; Flavobacteriales.
GGAGAGGUGGCCGAGUGGCUUAAGGCGCACGCUUGGAAAGUGUGUAUGCAGGUGACUGUAUCGGGGGUUCGAAUCCCUUCCUCUCCG